Oncorhynchus masou masou (cherry salmon) is the source of this 1854-nucleotide long non-coding RNA. RefSeq lists it as uncharacterized. The record is from RefSeq and is a predicted model, not a curated record. The transcript has 4 exons. NCBI's taxonomy places the organism in Eukaryota, Metazoa, Chordata, Actinopteri, Salmoniformes, Salmonidae.
ACAGGACCUAAGAACCAGAAGCCAGUUGCUGUAAACAAGCCUCCUAGCACCAUGAACCAUGGCCUCGUGGACUGCAAACACAACCAGAAGAACUUGACCAGGGCGUUCCUCAUGAUAGAGUCAGAGGGGAGUCCGGGGACACCAUGUCUCUCCAUCCCAGCUACUGCCAGGAGGUCCCCCUGCGAGCACCACUGGACCUCUACAUCUGAAGAGGAGAGGCUUCAGUCACAUCACGUUCAUACGGAAACAGGGACAGUUCCAGGACAUGCCGACGAUGCCAUCUGACUCAUGCAGGAGGACGUGGGCGAUCAUACGACCAUGGCAGUCCAUCACUAUCACCUGACCAUCAGCCGUACCAAACAACACCUGAAGUACAGUGGGCAGGAAGGAUUUUAUGAGAGAAAGCGUAUAUGGAGACAGUUUCCUGGACGUAGAUGAAGCCUUUGACUAAGAACAAAAUUUUCUCCAUUAUAGGGUGUAACAGGGUCCCACAUUAUUUUUAGUCCAGGACUAGACAUCAUCUGUGUCCUGGAAACCAACAGAUGAUUUAAUAUAUCAGGUGUAAAUGUAUCUGUAUGUAAAAGUGUAAUGCAUGUAACAAUGUUUUGUUUAGGUGUGAUAAGGGCUUCAUUAAUACAUGUAACAAUGUUUUGUUUAGGUGUGAUAAGGGCUUUAUUAAUACAUGGAAAGCAUUGAUUGAUUGAGGCGGUUUACCUGUUGGUCAUCAGGUGUCCAGAUGCCACAGGUGAUCUGGCUCUCCAGGUUAAUCUCUGAGGACCAGUGUCUCUGUCCGCUGACCGAGCCCACCAGGACAAACCCAUCCCGGUAGGCGAUCAGGGCCUGGCUACCGUCAUGAGACCAUGUGAAGUCACUCACCUGAUGGAGAAACACGAGAGGUACAAACUUACCUGGGCAGGUACAAACUUCCCUGGGCAGGUACAAACUUACCUGGGCAGGUACAAACUUACCUGGGCACCGCGGUCAUUCACUAACUCCACAGACCACCGUCCCUCAUAUUGAAUCCAGACGAAGAUGCCUCCCUCCAUGUCACACGUGGCCAGCUUCUGAAAGGGCUCAUUCCAACGGACCAACACAACCUUUAGAGAAAACACAAUGCAACUGCUAUUACACUCCACCAACACAGGGGUCUGUCUAGGAAUGUGAAUGUGGAAUACAGUUCAAUAUUCAACAUGAAAUAGGCCUACACUGUCCUGAUGGGAAAAACAACAAAACAGUGCAUUUCCUCCACCCCAGUUUCUGAUGGUACAGUCAGCACAGAAGUGAGCUCUGACAAAAGCUACACAAUAAUUGAAAGUUUUCAGAGAAUUUUUUAAAAUAUAUAUACACAUACAAUAAUUUGAGAGAUAUAUAUAUUUACAUACUAUACAUACUUCACACUAACACACAUCAAAUUAUUUUCUAAUGGUUGCCCAGUUCUCUGCCUAAUAAGAUAUUGAAAACACAAAAAUGACAAAGCCGGCCCACACACCUCACUGUUGUGUCCUCGCAGGUUGAAGUUGAUUCUCUGAGGGGUGUUCCUGUCUCUCCUGCAGUGGCUGGAUGUGAACGUUACGCCCACCACCCCUCUCCCGUUCCCUGUGGCCAGCCAGCCCUCCUCAUAGUAGCGCCGCUGGCACACCGGCUUGUCCUUCUCGCUCUUGGGGACCCGGCCCUUCCAGGAGAGGCAGAGGAUGUUGGAGUCGCUGCAGAGGAUGGGACCAUGUUCCACAGCAGCUAACAUCCUUACUGAGUGACCAGGCUAGGAGUUAAACAGAGGAGGAGAACAUAGUAACCUUUAUUUGUGUGUGUUUUAUGUGUUUCCUAUGUUCUUGAUUAAAGCAUUUGUGUCUCUAA